Molecule: ribosomal RNA, 157 nt
Filed under: Saponaria kotschyi
Lineage: Eukaryota; Viridiplantae; Streptophyta; Magnoliopsida; Caryophyllales; Caryophyllaceae
Description: 5.8S ribosomal RNA
Rfam family: 5.8S ribosomal RNA
About the family: 5.8S ribosomal RNA (5.8S rRNA) is a component of the large subunit of the eukaryotic ribosome.
Source: RNAcentral
AAACGACUCUCGGCAACGGAUAUCUCGGCUCUCGCAUCGAUGAAGAACGUAGCGAAAUGCGAUACUUGGUGUGAAUUGCAGAAUCCCGUGAACCAUCGAGUCUUUGAACGCAAGUUGCGCCCGAAGCCUUCUGGCUGAGGGCACGUCUGCCUGGGCG